UUACCGAGUGCGGGCCCCUCGGGGCCCAACCUCCCACCCGUGUUGCCCGAACCUAUGUUGCCUCGGCGGGCCCCGCGCCCGCCGACGGCCCCCCUGAACGCUGUCUGAAGUUGCAGUCUGAGACCUAUAACGAAAUUAGUUAAAACUUUCAACAACGGAUCUCUUGGUUCCGGCAUCGAUGAAGAACGCAGCGAAAUGCGAUAACUAAUGUGAAUUGCAGAAUUCAGUGAAUCAUCGAGUCUUUGAACGCACAUUGCGCCCUCUGGUAUUCCGGAGGGCAUGCCUGUCCGAGCGUCAUUGCUGCCCUCAAGCCCGGCUUGUGUGUUGGGCCCCGUCCCCCCCGCCGGGGGGACGGGCCCGAAAGGCAGCGGCGGCACCGCGUCCGGUCCUCGAGCGUAUGGGGCUUCGUCACCCGCUCUAGUAGGCCCGGCCGGCGCCAGCCGACCCCCAACCUUUAAUUAUCUCAGGUUGACCUCGGAUCAGGUAGGGAUACCCGCUGAACUUAAGCAUAUCAAUAAGCGGAGGAAAAGAAACCAACCGGGAUUGCCCUAGUAACGGCGAGUGAAGCGGCAAGAGCUCAAAUUUGAAAGCUGGCCCCCUCGGGGUCCGCAUUGUAAUUUGCAGAGGAUGCUUCGGGAACGGCCCCCAUCUAAGUGCCCUGGAACGGGCCGUCAUAGAGGGUGAGAAUCCCGUCUGGGAUGGGGUGGCCGCGCCCGUGUGAAGCUCCUUCGACGAGUCGAGUUGUUUGGGAAUGCAGCUCUAAUUGGGUGGUAAAUUUCAUCUAAAGCUAAAUAUUGGCCGGAGACCGAUAGCGCACAAGUAGAGUGAUCGAAAGAUGAAAAGCACUUUGAAAAGAGAGUUAAACAGCACGUGAAAUUGUUGAAAGGGAAGCGCUUGCGACCAGACUCGCCCGCGGGGUUCAGCCGGCACUCGUGCCGGUGUACUUCCCCGCGGGCGGGCCAGCGUCGGUUUGGGCGGCCGGUCAAAGGCCUCUGGAAG
Molecule: ribosomal RNA, 999 nt
Filed under: fungal sp.
Lineage: Eukaryota; Fungi
Description: eukaryotic LSU rRNA
Rfam family: Eukaryotic large subunit ribosomal RNA (bases 470-999)
Source: RNAcentral